GGGCUUCUUCUUUGAGAGAUGUUUGUUACAACCAGUGACAGUCACAUCCAAUUAUCCGAGCGACAAAAAAAAAAAAAAACACUGUCUCCUGUCAAGUUUGUUUUGCUUUUAUAUUUGUCAGAAGAAACAUAUUUGUUGUGUAGAUCAUGUUUCCUCACAACAAUUUUUUUUCCCACCCAGUUAAAGUAUCGAUGCACUUUGAAAAAGUGCUGUAAAAACUCUCUCGCUCUUACUUUCUUAUCACUGCUCGCUGUCUCUUCACUCACGGAUUGGAGGCAUAUCUAAAAAUCGUUCUCUGGGGCUGCCAAGGGGGAUUCUGGGAAAAUGUGGGGACACACACAAAACCUGUAGUAAAAAAGAAACAGACAGAGAAACUUGGGUAUAAGAAGAACUAGAAAAAAAACUAACUCAGAUAUCUUAAUAUGCUUAAAAUACUUGAAUGCCAAAGUUUAUUUAGAUAAAUGUUGUACUUGUGCAUGCCAGAGUGAGGUAUUUUUCCAUUAGGGUUGCAUUUGCAUGUUAAACUAACCUGUUUGCUGCAGGCAGGCGCGGAGGACACUCAAAAUUACUUUUGUGGGAAGCAGCACAGAAAAUUGCAUCCCCGGCACCACAUAAAUCAGAUCUUAUUUAACCGUAAUUUAGUCACAGUAAGGCUGUUAUUUACUGUAUAUAUUGUUUAGAUAUUUUCAGCCCAAACACUUGGAUUAGUCCGCCCUCUCACAAUGAUUGUGCAUGCAGACAUGCUGGGGCUUUUCCUCAUUACUUCCAAUUACGUUAGCUCAUACAUAGCUGUGUUAGUGUCAGCCAUAUGCAUCCCCAUAAGAGUGUGUUAAAUCAGACAAUCUGCUUGGUUAUUCAUUUUCACACAAAUGACCUCCCUUUCCUUGAAAAGAGCAGUCUAAAUUGGAAACCGUCUCAUUUUGGCUUCAAACUUCCAUUCAGCUGCAAAGGAAAGAGACGGGAAUUAAUUUGCUGUGAGUGAAUGGGUUUUGACAGGGGGCUAUUUCACCAGUCAGUGUCAGUGUUAUCCUGGCUGUGCAAUAAUGCAAUAAGGAAAACAAUCAAACAGCCAGUAGGAAAGCAUCUGACCUCAGAUUUCUUUUUUGAUAUGGAGCGUAAUUGCGGCGCACAGAAGACUUUACGCUGGCCUCUGUGUUCUGCUGAUUUCUUAAAAUAAGUUCGGCUGAAUCCUGAUGCCAGAAGCGCGGUUAUUUUCAUACCGCCUUUGUUCUACGAGAUCAGUCAGAACGUCUCCAACAUGGAGAGCUCGUGGCUUUGAAACGCACCGAUAAACCUUCAUCUUCAGAUUGUUUCUCUCUUCUCUCUCGCUUCCGCCUCCCUCUACCGCACUAACCCAAGAAUUUCAUGAAAGCUGGGGAAGAGAGUGCGUGUCAUCUAGUUUUCAGCAGUGGGUUUUCAUCUUGUUUUGGGUCUUUUCAGGAACGAUUGUUACUCAGUGUACUGAGAGAGAUGAGCUGCUAACUGCUGUAAUGAUGCUGCGUAAGCGAAUGUAUAGAUCCGCUGAUCACACCAACUCAAAUACAGGAUCAUCCACUGAAUGGUGAAGGCUGAUACUUUAUUUUGAUUCUAUCAAACGUCAUUAUUUCAACUCUCAUCAUUUUCAAGAAAGCAGAGUUGUGAAUAACUAACUGAAAGAGUCAGUAGCUGCAGUAGUUUUCUUGGUUUUUGCACCACCUCACAGAUCUAACACACUACGACUAGAGCUGUGCAAAAAUAUAAGCAGAACAAAAUACCUCAAUAUUUCCUCACAAGAUUGUACAUCUGUUUUCCUGCCUCUCUCAUAGAUAUAAUGAAUAGGUUGUCUUUUCCUCUCCCUUGAAUUUCUGUAUUCACAACAACCUCGGCAUCUGUAGAUGCUUCUGUUAUUGGACUGAGCUCUUGAACCUUCAGCUGCCGUGAGCAAGAAAAGACUAGCCGCAGUGGUCAAGUGUCAUAGAGGGGAAUUUAUUAGAGCUAGUGCUGAUAAUGAAAACAGGGAAAUAAGACAGUAUUUUUUCUGAGGACGUAAUAAAUGCAGCCACAGCUCUUCAUACACAUGCAACAAGCAGACUUGCUUUGAAUGAAUGCAUGCAGGUGAGUUUGCGUGUCUUUGCUUCGCCCUCCAUCAGAUCAGACCUGCUGCUCUCACUCAGUAACAACACAAAUAGACAGUUCUCCUAAGAUUACCACUUCUUAUUCUUAAAGGGAUAUUCUGGCAUAAAAUUCAGUCAGGGUCAAACAAUGUUACACAAAGUUAGACAACCCCACGAGAGAAGAAUGUUGCCGACUGCUUGCUUCUCUAGUUAUACCAACUUUAGAAAUGACCGCACGAUGGCAAUACACAGCAGUCUACAUCUCCACGUGCAAACCUCAACCAAAGCACCACUCUAUAGCCACAAAUAAUGCUCACAACAGCACCUAACUUCAUCAACAGUCCAUAUAGGGUCCCAGUCAUAGUACUAGCCACCCUGACAAGUCGAUCACCGAGUGCAGCAGAUCAUUUCCAUGAAGUAAUAAUCAUCAUAAUCAUUUUGCACUGCAGACGCAGUAGUUUUUGUGCCUUAUCGUCUCGGUCUGAUUGCAUUUGCAGGAUUGCAAGAAAUUAUCAUAAUGUUCUUCCUUGAGCUGCGAAACUCCGCUGCACUCUGCGAUCGACUCGUCAGGGCUCCCCCAACAAACAAUCAUCGUGCAGUCGUUACUUAAGUUGGUAUAACUAGAGAAGCAAGCAGUUGGUAACAUUCAUCUCUCAAGGGGGUGUCUAACUGUGUGAUGGUUUGUUUGACCCUAACUUGAUUUAACACCAGAAUAUCCCUUUAAGGAAACAACUCAGCAAAAAUGGAACAAUGGUCCAAACAACAUGAACAGUUACAAGCAGUUUUAAAAAGUUCAAUGUAAACUGCUGACAACACUUCCAAAUAUCACCACCACUAUUCCUACUAGAGAUACAAUGAAAACCACCACUAUUGCACAACUACUCAUUUUUUUAUUUUUAUUAUUUUAAUCAACAGCACUUUCAUUUCAGCUGUGUUAUACAACCUGUAAGCACAACCUUUGGAUAAAAUGAGCAGCAGAAGCGAGAAAAAUGUGGACGGUUGAUGAUAUUGGUUGCUUGGGGCACUAAAAUAACAGCUCUAACAAAGUGGCUUUCACAGCUGGGUUUUCCACAAGUCAAAUAAUAGAGGUCCUGUGUCAGAUCAAUAAGGUUAACAGGGUCAAAACAUUGACAAGGCGUGAAUAAAAAGUUUAACUUGGGCUUUUUUUGGUAUUUAAAAAAACCCAAAAGGGAAAGGUCACAGUUCUAAAGAAGAGUCUGGGAAUGAGUUUUUUACUAACCCCAUCUAAUCUGCAGAAGCACUACGAAUAAUUAAUUAACCUCUUGUUUGGUAGUUUGAUGCUUACAGAACAGAAACCAGCAGAAAGAUUUGUAAGUAGUUCCAAUUAUACUAACCAGGUAAACAGGUCUUGGUGUGUCAACUUCACCAAACAGCUUUGGCAGAAGCCUUUUUGUGUAGUAAUGUGGAUGGAAAUGAAAUAAAAACAAAACGCCUGACUGACAGUAUAACUAUCUCAAAGUGGGUUAAGAAUAAAGUUACACCCAUCAUGUCAAAGAGAGAAAAAGCAGUUUAGUAUUCAAUGUGUCUUCUUGUCAUUAGUCGGGCACUUUUAAAACUAAAUACAUUUUUCCAAGGAUCAGAGACACAGCAGAAACAGUGAGUCUAAAAAGUGGAUUAUUUUCAGUAUAGAGCAACAGCCUCUCUCUCUCUUUCUCUCUGUCCCUCGCAUUUCCUCCCUUAAUCCAAUCAUGCCCCAAUUACAAAAACCCAAGAUGAAGUCAGAGAGAGAGAGAGAGACAGAGAGAGAGAGCGAGAGAGAGAGAAGAAAAACAGUCAAAAUGUAAACUUAGCAGGCUGGCUCCAGUUUUGAUUAAUGAGCUUAUGACCUUUAUAAUGGUGUAUUUACACAGAACCCAAAAAGAAGCACAGAAGGCAGCCCAAUAAACUUUUAUCAGGGUUGAGUGGAGGUUGUGGAUAAUAUCACAAAAGUGGUUCUGAAGUAAAGCAAACAUCUCCCAGCUGAGGCAAGAUGAGCCUUUUUGGGUUAAAGACCGCAAAGACAUGAACGAUGUUUGAAUAUCAUGUCAAAUCAAGUCACAUUUGUUUAUAUGGCAUAUCAUACACAGUUGGCCACACUGCUGUAAAUAACAUCUUGUCCUCUCUCUGCAUUGUAUUGCUAUAUAAGUCUGCUGGGUUAAUAAUGUUUUUGACUCAAUAGGAAAGCUAAAGAAAAGAGAUAGGGAUACAGAAACGGUAAGGGUUAGGAGCAGCUACUGCAAAGGCUAGAUCAGUAGUAGCCGAUUGGUUGACCUCAGCAUCCUGCACAGAAUAUAAAUAUGGGAACAUUCAGCCAGGGGAAGGUGGUGUCUAUCUUGCUUUUGGCUUUAAAAGCUUCCAACAACAGUUUGACUCUGGUCAGGAAACCAGGGAAGAGAGAGCAACACAGUUUGUGGUCCCUCUAUUUCUUUCCAAACAGGAGGAAAGUAACAGCACUCUGAACUGACUGCAGGUGCUGAAUGGAAACUAGUCUAAACCCGCAUACAAAGAAUUACAAUAGUCGAGUCAAAAUGUUAGAAAUGCAUGUGCAAGCCUCUCUUAACCUUUAGAAAAGAAGGAACUCCACCUUAGCUGUAAGUCUUCUCUGAAAGACGCCGGAGUUAACCCCAGAAAAAAUCAGCUUGACUUAUUUGAAGAUAAAUAAAAUGAACAAGACUCUUUACAGGGGAGUGAGUAUCAGAGACUGGCGGGCCCACAUCCAAAUUUUGUACAAAAUACUCUGACUAGAGAUUCGUUUUCAUUUAAGUUGAGGAUGUUUAUCAAGCAGGGGCUGCAGUGAACCCUCUUUAUAUACCUCUUUAUAAAAGUAGAUUAGUUCAUUGGUCCAUUAUCUACAAGUCAAUGGGACGAGACAUUAGAGGUGUCCCGAUACAACUUUCUGACUUCCGAUACAAUACCGAUAUUGUGCAGGCCAAUACAACCCUUUUUCGUUUUUUGCUGAUAUCGGACUGAUAUCUGAUAUCAAUAUCGGAUGGGGACAUCCCUACCAGACAUUUUCUUUUAGGAUUCCUUGGACAGCACAUGGAAAAAAAAGAAAAUAGGAUCGGACCCAAAAUAGAUCCAAGAGGGACGCCACAAGUUAGUGGAACCUCUGGGUAAUAAUCAUUGUGUGGAAAAAGAAAUAUCUUCCAGACUGAACUACUUAAAGUAGGGCUGGGCGAUAUGGCCUAAAAUCAACAUCACGAUAUAUUGAGCAGUUCACCUCGAUAACGAUAAAUGGACGAUAACUACUCCACAAGCUGCUCACCCCCUUCCACAUUAACUUCGUCUACUUUAGCCACCGCUCCAGCUGCUACAACUUCUGAACGGUCCUCCAUCUCCUCACCUGUCUUUCCCUCUUUGUUACGGACUGGAUGGGGUGGAGUCAUGUCUUUGACGUAGGACAGUGUCUUAAAAGGGACAUGAGACCAUAGCCUACCUACACACAUCCAAAACCAACUUUUAUUUAUUAAUUUUUUUUGAGACCCAAAUAUAUUGACAUGGGCAAACUAAUGUCGGUUAUUGUCGUAAAUCUAUUGCCCAGCCCUAACUUAAAUGCUGCACUUUUAAUUCUUAAGGGGACUGUAUUAUCAACAGUGUCCAAGGUAGCCAUUAUGCAUGCAAAGGGAACCAAAGAUGUCAUUUACUUGUUCAUUCUAGUCUUGUUUUAACUACAGCUCUUAUUAUUAGCUCAUAAUGGAGUUCAUUCUCUUAAAAAAGUGAUUCUUAAUUUCAAGGAACAUAAUUGAAAGAGAAAGAGAACAUUUAUUGGACCUUAUUCACAUCAGUUAAAUUGUUCUGUAGACUUGUACACCGACAAUAACGCCUCACAUAAUACCAGAGUAGAUUAAGAUGUCUUUUAAGAGGCUAUUUCUACUGAGAGCUAAAUGAUUUCCCAGCAGGUACUUAUUUUUGUCCAAAUUGUACCACUGACCAUCAAAUAGCUUUGCAAGACUGCUUCACUAAUCGUAGACACAGCAUGACUGGUUUCUAAAUGAGUCCCGUUUACUAAAUAGGUUAUAUUUUACCCGGGUGAUCACAGAAUAAAAUAAAAAAUAAAGAAAUAAAUAAAAAACACUUUGAAGUCUAAACUGAGAUUGGCCAAAGUCUUUAGGGAUGAAUUCUAUGAACAUCUACCAUUUACUCUUUCAGCACCAUGUAGAGUAAAACCACAAACAAAUUUCCCAAUUACAAAUGAAGUGUAUUGACUGUUGUGAGACGAAUGUAAAGCUUUGAUUUGAUCUGUUUUUAUUCUGUUACAAAGGCUUUACUGUUGUGCAGAGUGUCACACAUGCGCAGAGGUCACGAGAAAGUGUCAAGGACUGAAAGUUCGGCAUUUCUUCCUGAUCAGGGUUUGAUUAAUGUCUCCACAAUGAGGCUGCUACUCGACAAAAACAACCGUUUGUGAGGGUGGGUGGAUGAAAAAGAAUUAACAAGAAGGAGUGUGGUUUUAGUUAAAUAUUAAUUCUUUGUGCUACAACUCAGCACUGACAUGAAAUACUUCACUUAAAAACUACAAAGUGUUUUUGCUGAUAUUAGUCGUAUGUGUCAGUAAUUUUCAGCUUACAUGGGUGCAGGAGGGAUCGGCUGAUAUGCAUGCGAGGUACUCAUUGCUAUUAUUUAUGGGACUAGAAAGUUGUAUUUUCAGUCUUAUAUUGCACAUUAAAGGCAUGAAUAUGUGUGAUCAUGUAAGGGGUGAUGUAUUUGGAGUGGGAUGUAUUUGCUGGAUUUUAACUCCGAGACAAAGCUGAGAGGGUCUUGUCUCACCCUUUCACCCCUUCACUUUAAAUACUGCUCACCCUGUCACAAUUCCAACCUGCUAUGACAAUCCACUUACUUUUGAUUAUAUCACAUUCUUUUUUAUCUGUAUCAUACUUAUGCAAUAAAAUCAGCCCUUUCGCAUCAAUUUUUUCAACUUAAGAAUGAUUGUUUUACCGCCUUUAAAAACAGUGUAGUACUCUGUUUUAGCUGCUCUAAGGUCUUUGUAAAAUUUGCAGCUUUAUUUGUUACUUUAAACCAAACACUUCCACUGCAGGUGGGGUCAUAAAAGGAGAGCAGGACUGCAUGAAUCAGCAGGUGAAAGUCUUACAUUUUCUUUGCCAUUUUAAAGUCCUUAAACACCCUCCUAUCUAGUAAUAUGUCUAAUUGAGCAUCGGCUUCAUACAUCAUCUUUAAAUUUGUAGAUUUUCUUCCAACAGUUUCUGUGUCCCUAACUUCACCUUCCUGUGCUCAGCUAUUUUUCAGCUCCUUUUCUGUUUCUCCCCCCACAUUAAACAAACCCGACGUCAAAUGAAGCAAACUUCUCUCUUGAGAUAUUCUGAUUGCAGUCAGUCUUCAGGAGCCUGUGAUUGGAGUGACAUCCUCAGCAAUUAUUCAGAAAUAUGAGACUGUUAUAGUAUCAGACUGACCAAUCAGACUCAAUUUGAUACAAACAGAAACUGAAGAAGAGAAAAUCCUCACAGCUGAAAUGCUGGAGCUUGUGCCUGCAUAAUAUGCCAGUCAACAAAUUCCUGCAAAACAACUUUUUAGCUGAUAAAUGAAAACUUAACACUGGAUAUAAACUCUGGUGAUCUUUAAAAUUUAUGCUUUGCUUUUAAAGGUAUGCAAAUUCACAGUUGCACUGUUAGUCAGCUCCUAUUAUAGUGCACCUGAAUAAUACCUGGCUGCGCGCAUUAUGUGACUGUUUAAGCAGUCUAUUUAUCUGAAGAACUGUGCCACCAAGGCAAAUUCUCAGAUAGUUUGUUAUACCUGCCAAGCCGGGCUCCACUGAUGCUAAUUAUUUAGUGGGAGCCCAGUUUCUCGUGGCUAAUAUAUUUAGCACAAACUUGCGACGAACUGUGGCCUCCUUGUACAUCUCAGCCAUUAUUCCUCACAAAUUAAGUUGUGAAAGACGGGGAGACUUUGCUCUAUAGGGCCUGGGGCCUCUUGUUGACCUGAAUCAUGAAAUUGUUCUCACUGCAGCAACAAUGGUACCCUGUCUAAGCGUGGCGGUGCACACGUGUGUGUGUCUUUGUGUGUGAUGCAUGUGUGAGAUGCUUCAAAAAGAGCCUUGGGUUACCCAGAAUGCAGGUCAGUAAUUACGGUUUGCUCAGUUGAGCAACACUGUUAAUCUGUAUGUCACUGUUAAUCUGCCGCUGUCUAUAUAUGGAUGUUGCUUCAUCGCACCUGGAGGCACAACAAUUACUCUUUUCCUUUACCUUUAAACUGGGUCAUUUAACACAACACAGCAGUGUGAAAUAUUUCUACAUCUUUAGCCUCAAACAACUCUUCAUAAAUUCGACUGAUCCUCGUCUCCACGCCGUGGCUGAGAUUAAAGAGGCCUAUUUUCACAUCACUGUUGUGUUUAAAACAAGCACUGGAGAUGUUAUCUGUGGCUAGCUGUGACAUCAUCAUCGCUAAUUAGACGAACUCGGCGACUUCAUUAGUGUGUGUGAGAAAGCAUCACACUGGUAAUCAGAUUUAGAGCUCACUUCUCUGACAGUUCACCGUUCACUCACCUACCCUCACACCCCUCCCCCUUUUGUCUUUGACAUCACCUCUUUAAAGAUUCAUAAGCCGGGGCAAUUUACAUAAAAGUUAAAGCGUCUGAUUAGUCGUAUUACAACCCACUCUGACCGGCACCAGCCCUGCAGGGACUGCAGGAUUGGCCAAGGUUACAGCUCAGGCAUGUUGCUCAGCGGCAUGCGAAGGGGGCCACCAUGGCGGCAAGUAGAGAGGAGAUUAUAAUGAAUUUCUCUGAGUCAUUUUCUUUUACCUUCAUGCUCCCCCCCUAAUAAUUAUAACUGUGUGGGGCCCACUUCCUUUUUACCAUUCUUAUCCUUACACUUCCUCACAAAGAAGCAGUUCCCUCAAAGGAUUCAUACACAGAGUUUUGUAUUAGAGCCUAUUUUGCAUCAAUAAUAACAGGCUGUGGGCAUGUUUUCAAUUAAACACAAAAACCCAAUUUUGUCCCUUUCUGUCAACACACUGGAAUGAGUGACCAUGAUGCAAUGCUGGAACAAUUUCAAUGUUUUCAUGCACAUCAAAAGGCAUAAAAACAUUGAAAUUGAACCUAUUCAUUGCAAUUCAAUUGGGGUCAUUAAGUCAAGAUUUGCAUUUAAAUAGCAACAUUAAAAUGUUACAUAGUAGUGCCGAAUAAUGCGCUCAUUCAUACCAGCGCAUCAUAAUUAAUUGGUGUUUCCAAGGAAACCUUUCAAACCUAAUUGUUCACAGGGUGGUCUCACUAUAGAGGCAACAGAACACUUUGACCAGAGAGCAGCCACUGGAGCUGUUUAUCCCGGGAGGUUGUUAAGAAUGCAAUCAGGAUCAAAAGUCACAGAUUCUACAAGUAAUCUGAAAUUCUUUAAAUCCUCCUCGUGUUUCGUAGUGCUUCUCCAUUCCCUGUGAAUGUCUUGUCAAAGCCUCUCACUGUGCAGGCUCAUCUAUCAUUUUGGAAUAAUUCUGUCUGUACUUUAAACGUGAGGUGGGUGCUGAUGAAUUUUGCAGAGCACCCUCGAGCCGACUGCUGCCCAGGCAACAUCCCUGAGGCUGGGCAGAAAUACAUCAGGACUUAUAAUAACUGCCUCUCCUUGUUUCCCCAGACAGGCCAGCAGCAGUCCACGCCACGUUCGACGGGUUUUAGGAGGAAGCCUCGGCAGACCAAUUCAGACCUCUUUCAUAAAAGACAAAGAAAUAGUUCCCUCUUUUACAGGUAAGGGCCUGAGGCGUUCUUGCAUGCAUGCCCUGAUAACACAGCAAACAGUCAUGCUUGACUCUUGGUUACUGGACUGAGAGGGUUUAUCUGAGCAAUACAAGGUCUUUUUUGUGCGCGUGAUGAUAUAAAACUCAUACAUAAAAUAAUACUUGAUAGAAAACACCAGAGACAGCUAGAUGAAACUUUUAUUUCAAAAGGCCUGCUUUUAAAAGAAGGAAAAAUAUACAACUGAAAAUGCAUUUUCAAGCCAACGCAUUUCAGCGAGGGCAAAAGAGCAGCAAUUUGUCCCUCACCUCCUCCAUUAGCUGCAGUGAUGUAAGCUAUUAUGAUCAAGGGAAGCAAAUUGUAAGAGAUAUGGUGCUUAUGGGAGGUCUAGAUGGCACUGUUGCAGUAGCUGUGACAUUUUGUUGUUUGUUUUGCAGGACUGAGCAAGAGGUGAGGAAGGUAGCCAUAUGGUGGAUAUUUAUCAGCCGAUGGCUGGCAGAGUGAUUGAAUGUGAGCUGAAGGUGAAGCUGCAGACAGCUGAGAAGGAGAGCAGGGCCUGAGGCCCGGGGUCCGGUACCAGGCUGUUCAUCAUCUCCCUUAAAGGAAGGUCAACAGUCCAAUGAAUCACACUCACCACCAAACUUACAGCUUGUUCUCUGUCAGCUUUACUGCAUUUUGCUGCAGUCCUCGCUGUUCAGCUGGAACCUAAUCCACUCACCCUGCCUCUUCAUCUGAUUCUUUAUAAGGGGGCUGGAAGAAACCAGAAUGCCAAAGUCUCUAAAAUCUAAUGAUUCAAUAAUCUCAGACGUCAUCAAACACAGCUGCUGACGUCAGUGAGGCCAAAAGCAGGGUUGGCGUUGUUUGGGGCUGGGAAGGCCGAUAACUCAAAUUCAAUUUAAUCAGAGGCAUCAAACUCCUCCAGGGUUUCUAUUCAACCCUUUUGGGGUCAACAUCAUAAUGACGUCAGCAGGAACCAAAACAAAACAAAACUAGAGCGACAUUUGAAGCCCCACCACAGGGUAAUAGGCUUCAUAGCAUUUUUAAAAUGUUGUCUCAUGUUGUUGGGUACCAAAUAGUAAUGUCUCAAAACUGGCAUUUUGCCAUAUAACAGCCGACACGGUCAGGGAUGAAAACAACAUUGGUUAAACAAGAUAAGGAGAGGACUGGACAGAGGCCAUCAUCAAAAAGCUAACAUGUGCAGUACACAGUCCAAAUCAGGUAAGGUCAAAAAGCAUGUUGUAUGGAUUAUGUAUGUUAUGAGUUAGCAUUACUGUCCGAUCAGAACGAGGGGAGUGUUUCUUGGAUUUCUCUAAUAUGUUAGCACUUGUUCCACUGUUGGCUUUGUAAGCAUUAUAAAAUGAAGGAGUCCUGUCAAAUCAUCCAUCCAUCCAUUCAUCGAGGGUGCGGGUCGGCCAGCCUGCUCUCAUCCAUCAGUGUCACCUUAUCCAGGUGACACAGUUGAUGGUAAGCUGACGGUAAGUGACCUCACAAAUUCAGGGAAACCCGUAUUAUCUCCUGUCAUAGUCAGAAACAAGCGAAACAAUUUCGCCUUUGCCUCCAGGUAUGCCCCUGGUGGUAAAUACAGCCUCAUCGGUUUCCUACCUCUAUAAUGGGCUUCUCCUCAUAUAUGUUGGACGUUGGAAUAGAGAGGGACCAAAUAUGGAUCUGGUGGAAGUUCUCUGCUAGCAUGGUCAAAGAGCUAUGAUCCAUUGAGCCCAGCACUCCAGCAAGAGGCCUGCAAAUCCCAAAAAAGUGUUUAAAACCAACCACUAAGACCUCACUAAACAUAGGGAGGGUCUUACAAGAGAGACAGGGAGGGCAAGGGAUUAGGCCCAGAAUACAGCAAACUAUGCAAAAUAUGAUCAGGACACUCAUGUUCGAGGAAGAGUAAUCCUCCUGCAUGUGAAAUCAGGGGAUAAGCAAGGAGUUAAACAUGUUAGACACAUUUUCUCUCUCCAGGAGAUGCUAGUUUUACAACUCGGUUCACAUUAUGCAAAAUACAGGAAGUUAAAUCCCAUUUUGACUGACUCAUCUCAUUGUUGAGAACACCCAUGGCACAUCUGGGCGUCUCAGGGGGUCAGCAUAUGAG
Molecule: non-coding RNA, 11857 nt
Organism: Xyrichtys novacula (pearly razorfish)
Lineage: Eukaryota; Metazoa; Chordata; Actinopteri; Labriformes; Labridae
Source: the annotation of a GenBank genome assembly